This 422-nucleotide ribosomal RNA is filed under the name uncultured bacterium. RNAcentral's name for it is "bacterial SSU rRNA". It matches the Rfam family "Bacterial small subunit ribosomal RNA", at positions 355 to 774 of the family's 1533-position model. The record is from RNAcentral.
UGAGGAAUAUUGGGCAAUGCCCGCAAGGGUGACCCAGCAACGCCGCGUGGAGGAUGAAUGUCGUAAGAUUGUAAACUCCUGUUAGAGGGGAAGAAUAGUACCGGUUGGACCGGUAUAUGACUGUACCCUCAGAGAAAGCCCCGGCUAACUACGUGCCAGCAGCCGCGGUAAUACGUAGGGGGCAAGCGUUGUCCGGAUUUACUGGGAGUAAAGGGCGCGCAGGCGGGAUAAAAAGUCAGUGGUGAAAUCCUACAGCUUAACUGUAGAACUGCCUUUGAUACUUUUAUUCUUGAGUUCGGGAGAGAUAGACGGAAUUCCAGGUGUAGUGGUGAAAUACGUAGAUAUCUGGAAGAACACCAGUUGCGAAGGCGGUCUCUUGGUCCGACACUGACGCUGAGGCGCGAAAGCGUGGGGAGCAAACA